AGCUCCAAUAGCAUAUACCAAUUCUGCUGCUGUUAAAAAGCUCGUAGUUGGAUCUUUCCCGAGGGCCCGGUCUGUCUAACGGACUAGCACUGGGUUCCGAGGGUAUACCUUGCUGGUUGUCUCAUGGUGCUCUUCAUUGAGUGCCUUGGGUGGCUAGCACGUUUACUUUGAAAAAAUUAGAGUGCUCAAAACAGGCGUUACAGCCCGAAUAGUGGUGCAUGGAAUAAUGGAAUAGGACCUCGGUUCUAUUUUGUUGGUUUUAGGAGCGCGAGGUAAUGAUUAAGAGGGACAGACGGGGGCAUUCGUAUUGCGGCGUUAGAGGUGAAAUUCUUGGAUCGCCGCAAGACGAACAACUGCGAAAGCAUUUGCCAAGAAUGUUUUCA
RNAcentral lists this ribosomal RNA (383 nucleotides) under uncultured eukaryote. RNAcentral describes it as "SSU rRNA". It matches the Rfam family "Eukaryotic small subunit ribosomal RNA", at positions 587 to 972 of the family's 1831-position model. The record is from RNAcentral.